Molecule: ribosomal RNA, 548 nt
Filed under: uncultured Glomus
Lineage: Eukaryota; Fungi; Glomeromycota; Glomeromycetes; Glomerales; Glomeraceae
Description: SSU rRNA
Rfam family: Eukaryotic small subunit ribosomal RNA
Source: RNAcentral
UUGGAGGGCAAGUCUGGUGCCAGCAGCCGCGGUAAUUCCAGCUCCAAUAGCGUAUAUUAAAGUUGUUGCAGUUAAAAAGCUCGUAGUUGAAUUUCGGGAUCAAUUUAUUGGUCGUGCUAUUGUACGUACUGGUAUUAUUGAUUCCUACCUUCUGACGAACCAUGAUGUCAUUAAUUUGGUGUCAUGGGGAAUCAGGACUGUUACUUUGAAAAAAUUAGAGUGUUUAAAGCAGGCUCACGCUUGAAUACAUUAGCAUGGAAUAACGAAAUAGGACGUUUGAUUCUAUUUUGUUGGUUUCUAGGAUCGACGUAAUGAUUAAUAGGGAUAGUUGGGGGCAUUAGUAUUCAAUUGUCAGAGGUGAAAUUCUUGGAUUUAUUGAAGACUAACUACUGCGAAAGCAUUUGCCAAGGAUGUUUUCAUUAAUCAAGAACGAAAGUUAGGGGAUCGAAGACGAUCAGAUACCGUCGUAGUCUUAACCAUAAACUAUGCCGACUAGGGAUCGGAUGAUGUUAAUUUUAUAAUGACUCAUUCGGCGCCUUACGGGAAAC